Protopterus annectens (West African lungfish) is the source of this 685-nucleotide long non-coding RNA. RefSeq lists it as uncharacterized. The transcript is spliced from 2 exons. NCBI's taxonomy places the organism in Eukaryota, Metazoa, Chordata, Ceratodontiformes, Protopteridae. The record is from RefSeq and is a predicted model, not a curated record.
CAACUUUCUAGCCUUGACUUGCGUCAUAUCACAGAACUGAAUAAUGAAACAGUGAUGGAGGUCGUUAAGAAGUGUAAAAAUCUCUCAUCUCUUAACCUCUGCCUGAACUGGUGCAUCAAUGACAGUGAAAUUUUCUACCAGAAGGCUGCAGUCUUGGAAAGAAGAGGAAGAAAAAAAAAUAGCAGCAUACCAGACGAAUACAUUGUACUGGGCAAAUUUGACACUUAGUUGCAUGAAUAUCCUUUGCAUAAAGAUUUCAAGACACCAGAGGCACUUUUGAUAAUAAAAGGAAUAGAUUAAUGACUUUAUCAGGGAAACAGUUAUGUGUAAAUGAUUAAUUUUCAAGGGAAGGGCAAAAACAUUUACAAGACUUAUCACUAACAGUUAUACUAAGCCUAUUGGUGUAAAAACGCGUAGUACACACUAGCAGUCCUGUAAAAGAAGGCAUUUAUGUGAUAUAUGAAAAAGUUUACCAUAUAUAAUAAUGCCCAUGUAUGCUCUUAGCUUGUAUAAAUGUAUGAGUAACUUUAUUCCUUAAGAGACCGUGUAUUAAAUUUAUCAGAACUUAUUUGUGUAUGAUGGUCUUUAUGCUUAAGUGAAUUAUAAAGGCAGUAUCUGAUAAUUUUUUCAGAGAGUAACAAUGUAUCUGUUAUAUAUGCUUUGUAUUAAAGUUUGCAACAGGAAA